This 26-nucleotide non-coding RNA is filed under the name Homo sapiens (human). Lineage: Eukaryota; Metazoa; Chordata; Mammalia; Primates; Hominidae. The record is from RNAcentral.
UUAGAAGUCCAAAUCAGGUGGUGGUA